RNAcentral lists this long non-coding RNA (2401 nucleotides) under Anolis carolinensis (green anole). RNAcentral describes it as "lncRNA (ENSACAG00000041407.1)". Lineage: Eukaryota; Metazoa; Chordata; Lepidosauria; Squamata; Anolidae. The record is from RNAcentral.
AGGGCACUUCUUUCGAAACCUUGCCAGUAUGUAAAGUUGGCCAUGUUGGGUAUCUGUGCCAGGUUUGGUCGAGAUUCAUUAUUGGUUGGGUUCACAGUGUGGGUGAAUAAUAACUUCCAAGAUCCAAAGGCAAUGCUGUCCAAACUUUGCCAGCACUUAGUAUGAAUCAAAUUGUAGGGCAAGUACUUGCACAUUUAGAGAUCUGUGAUUGCAGAGAUUGGGAUGUGCAAGUUCUGAAUUUCAGAUUAAAGCAUUUGCAUUUCAAACCUCCUUUCAAUCUGAUAUGAAUAUUAUUUUUUUCAGGGAGUCCCAGGCCCAGAAGGGUUUCCUGGUCCACAAGGAUUUCCUGGUCCGCCAGUAAGUUGUUUAUGGCACAAAAUUCAUUCUUUUCCCAGCCUUGUAGUUCUUCUGGUACAAUUGGGGGAUUAUAAAGUGAGUGGGUCUUUGUUUGUGGGGCAACUACAUAGUACAUCUACUUCAGGAACAGAUCUGGAUGAAGACUAUAGAAAAAUAAAAUUAUUUCUCAGAUAAUUUAUUUUAGGUUUAGGAAAGUUUGGUUAAUCAUAUAAGUAUCCACCAAAGCAGUGAUGUUAGUGCUAAAAAGGGCAACUAAAUGGUCUACCCCGAGCCAGUUGUAUGAAACAUCCAUUGUUUGACAUGUCUUGGACUCAGGUUGGAGUUUUGUUCUCACAGUGCAGGUUGAUCCAUGCUAUCUUUGGUGUUUCCCUCAUUUUCCUAUUAGGGUGUUGACGGUUUUGGGGAGAAAGGAGAAAAAGGUGUUCCUGGAUUGCCUGGACCCAGGGGAGACAUGGGACCGAAAGGAUUUGAUGGGAGCCCAGGUGGAGAGGGCUCACCAGGUGAGCCAGGAUUUCCAGGAAGAGAUGGAUCACCAGGAGGAAAGGGCGAGUUUGGUGAUAUUGGUCCUCCAGGUCCUACGGUUAUUAUUGAUGAAGAAGGCAUUGUAAUUUCAGGUGUGUUUUUGUUUAACUAUGACAAAAUAUAUCACUUUCUCAUCUAUGGCAGACCUUCUCAUUUGGGUUUUCUUAACAGAGUGUUGAUCAUAGGGUUGCGCUGUAGGACCUAGUGAUGCCUAGAAAGGUGUCCUCCAUUGCGAUUCUAUGGUAUGCUUGUUUAAUGGAGUUGGCUGUCAACUGUGGUUUCUCAUAUCCACUUGAUAUCUUUGAAAGUACCUGCUAAUAGUAACUUGGAAAAGAGACCAGUUUUAAUCAAGGUAAUAUGAACAUGACAAUGGUGAUAUGGUGAGACCAGGGCAAUCCUGACCUCCCUCUCUCUCUCUCUUACUGUUUCAUCCCAGGUCCUCCUGGAGAACCUGGGACUCCGGGAAUCCCUGGUGCUAGAGGCGACGAAGGGUCCGUUGGGAUGGUAGGCCUUCCCGGCCCACCAGGUUAUUCUGCGCCUUUUCCAGGUAAAGCAGUGGGAGGUUUUCAACUGGAGACAUCUUUGCAUGAGAAUGAAAAAAAACAUCCAAACCCUUGGUAUCUGCUUGGGUUUGGUCCCAGGACUCAACAUCCGUGGAUGUUCAGGUUCCGUUAUAUACGAUGCUGUAGUAAACUGGUGUCACUUAUAUCAGGGUUUGCAUUUUUGAUGUUUUUUUAAUUUUCUCAAGACACGGAUAGUAAAAUACGUGGGUGGAAAUUUCAAGGAUAUGUAGGAACACUUGAACUAGAUGGACCUUGAACGUUAUCUGAUGAGUAGUGAAGAUGCCAAUGUGGCUACUACAUUCUGGUUGAACAUGUAGCAACAUGCUAAUUUAUAAAAUUAUCCCUAUGUUCUUUUAAAUUAUAUCCCUGUGAUGAGGAAGUAACUGAGGAUCAAGGUUAUUGGAGUCUGUGUGGUUUUUAUGUUGGAGUAAAAGAUUUGCACUUCCAAGGUUGAAAAGAUAAAGCAUUCACCAUCUGUUGUUCAAUCUUCAUAAAAUCUUGCUGAGUCAACUAAACAUGAACAUCUCAAGUCUCAAAUAAUAUAGUUUGCAAAUAUGGUCAACUUAUUGAUGUAUAUAACUCCCAAAUACAGUCCAAUCGAGGAAGCUAAACAAGCUCAGUCCUGAUUAGUAUUUGGAUGGAAAACUGCCAGUGAAUAGCAGGUGCUGUAGGCUCUGUUUCAGAAAAAAAUGAAGUGGCAAAACCACAUUUGAAUAAUCCUUAUUUAAGAAAAUCCUAUGAAAGUCAUGGGAUCACCAUACAGUUCAUAGCAGUAUGUUUUUCAUUUACAUUUAUAUUCUAUUUAAGUAUUCUUAAGUAUUGGAAUUUCAAGAUAUGUAAUAUGGGAGGGAGCGCAGCAACUGCAUGUAUCUUUAAAUUACUUGUCAACGUAUGGGAUGAAUACUGCCUUUAUGGAUUCUAUUUCAGAAGAAGGAACUUUAAAGUAGUUUUAAUGCACA